AGAGUUUGAUCCUGGCUCAGAUUGAACGCUGGCGGCGUGCUUAACACAUGCAAGUCGAUCGGUAACAGGUGUAGCAAUACAUGCUGACGAGAGGCGGACGGGUGAGGAAUAUUUGGGAAUCUGCCCAUCAGCGGGGGACAACCCGGGGAAACCCGGGCUAAUACCGCAUACGCUCUACGGAGGAAAGCCGGGGACCGCAAGGCCUGGCACUGAUGGAUGAGCCCAAAUCGGAUUAGCUAGUUGGCGGGGUAACGGCCCACCAAGGCGACGAUCCGUAGCUGGUCUGAGAGGACGAUCAGCCACACCGGAACUGAGACACGGUCCGGACUCCUACGGGAGGCAGCAGUGGGGAAUAUUGGACAAUGGGGGAAACCCUGAUCCAGCGACGCCGCGUGGGUGAAGAAGGCCUGCGGGUUGUAAAGCCCUUUCGGUAGGGACGAAAGCUCUUGCUCUAACAAAGCAGGAGGUUGACUUAACCUACAUAAGAAGCACCGGCUAACUCUGUGCCAGCAGCCGCGGUAA
Molecule: ribosomal RNA, 522 nt
Filed under: uncultured Halothiobacillaceae bacterium
Lineage: Bacteria; Pseudomonadati; Pseudomonadota; Gammaproteobacteria; Chromatiales; Halothiobacillaceae
Description: bacterial SSU rRNA
Rfam family: Bacterial small subunit ribosomal RNA
Source: RNAcentral